ACGGGAGGCAGCAGUGGGGAAUAUUGCACAAUGGAGGGAACUCUGAUGCAGCAACGCCGCGUGAGUGAAGAAGGUCUUCGGAUCGUAAAACUCUGUCCUUAGGGACGAAGAAAGUGACGGUACCUAAGGAGGAAGCCCCGGCUAACUACGUGCCAGCAGCCGCGGUAAUACGUAGGGGGCGAGCGUUAUCCGGAAUUAUUGGGCGUAAAGAGUACGUAGGUGGUUUUGUAAGCGUAAGGUGAAAGCCCGGGGCUUAACUCCGGCGAGCCUUUCGAACUGCUAGACUUGAGUGCAGGAGGGGAAAGUGGAACUCCAUGUGUAGCGGUGAAAUGCGUAGAUAUAUGGAAGAACACCGGUGGCGAAGGCGACUUUCUGGACUGUAACUGACACUGAGGUACGAAAGCGUGGGGAGCAAACAGGAUUAGAUACCCUGGUA
Molecule: ribosomal RNA, 436 nt
Filed under: uncultured Anaerovorax sp.
Lineage: Bacteria; Bacillati; Bacillota; Clostridia; Peptostreptococcales; Anaerovoracaceae
Description: partial 16S ribosomal RNA
Rfam family: Bacterial small subunit ribosomal RNA
Source: RNAcentral